AUUGAACGCUGGCGGCAUGCCUUACACAUGCAAGUCGAACGGCAGCACGGGAGCAAUCCUGGUGGCGAGUGGCGAACGGGUGAGUAAUAUAUCGGAACGUGCCCAGUCGUGGGGAUAACGUAGCGAAAGCUACGCUAAUACCGCAUACGAUCUAUGGAUGAAAGCGGGGGAUCGCAAGACCUCGCGCGAUUGGAGCGGCCGAUAUCAGAUUAGGUAGUUGGUGAGGUAAAGGCUCACCAAGCCGACGAUCUGUAGCUGGUCUGAGAGGACGACCAGCCACACUGGGACUGAGACACGGCCCAGACUCCUACGGGAGGCAGCAGUGGGGAAUUUUGGACAAUGGGCGCAAGCCUGAUCCAGCCAUGCCGCGUGUGUGAAGAAGGCCUCGGUU
This 391-nucleotide ribosomal RNA is filed under the name uncultured bacterium. Its description in RNAcentral is "bacterial SSU rRNA". It matches the Rfam family "Bacterial small subunit ribosomal RNA", at positions 30 to 424 of the family's 1533-position model. The record is from RNAcentral.